This 351-nucleotide ribosomal RNA is filed under the name bacterium. RNAcentral describes it as "bacterial SSU rRNA". It matches the Rfam family "Bacterial small subunit ribosomal RNA", at positions 566 to 917 of the family's 1533-position model. The record is from RNAcentral.
CGUGCGCAGGCGGUUUUGUAAGUCUGUCGUGAAAGCCCCGGGCUCAACCUGGGAAUUGCGAUGGAGACUGCAAGGCUUGAAUCUGGCAGAGGGGGGUAGAAUUCCACGUGUAGCAGUGAAAUGCGUAGAGAUGUGGAGGAACACCGAUGGCGAAGGCAGCCCCCUGGGUCAAGAUUGACGCUCAUGCACGAAAGCGUGGGGAGCAAACAGGAUUAGAUACCCUGGUAGUCCACGCCCUAAACGAUGUCUACUAGUUGUCGGGUUUUAAUUAACUUGGUAACGCAGCUAACGCGUGAAGUAGACCGCCUGGGGAGUACGGUCGCAAGAUUAAAACUCAAAGGAAUUGACGGA